ACGAACGCUGGCGGCGUGCCUAACACAUGCAAGUCGAGCGAUGAAGUUCUUCGGAACGGAUUAGCGGCGGACGGGUGAGUAACGCGUGAGCAAUCUGCCUUACACAAAGGGAUAGCCUCGGGAAACUGGGAUUAAUACCAUAUGACACUUGGUAAUCGCAUGAGGACCAAGUCAAAGAUUUUAUCGGUGUAAGAUGAGCUCGCGUCUGAUUAGCUAGUUGGUGGGGUAAAGGCCUACCAAGGCGACGAUCAGUAGCCGGCCUGAGAGGGUGAACGGCCACACUGGAACUGAGACACGGUCCAGACUCCUACGGGAGGCAGCAGUGGGGAAUAUUGCACAAUGGGCGCAAGCCUGAUGCAGCGACGCCGCGUGAGCGAAGACGGCCUUAUGGGUUGUAAACUUCUUUACUAUGCGACUAACUAGAUUUACGAGAUAAUUCUAUAGAAUGUAGCAUAGCAAAAAGCACCGGCUAACUCCGUG
Molecule: ribosomal RNA, 480 nt
Filed under: uncultured bacterium
Lineage: Bacteria
Description: bacterial SSU rRNA
Rfam family: Bacterial small subunit ribosomal RNA
Source: RNAcentral